This 250-nucleotide unclassified non-coding RNA is filed under the name plant metagenome. RNAcentral's name for it is "partial contains small subunit ribosomal RNA, internal transcribed spacer 1, and 5.8S ribosomal RNA". The record is from RNAcentral.
GUAGGUGAACCUGCGGAAGGAUCAUUAACACGUAUCCACGUAUCAACCCUUGUGCUCUUUGUUCUUGGAAUUGUGGAAUAUCAAUUGAGGUGAGAGCGAGUAACCUUUUUUCUCUCGGGAGAGAAGGGAACUUGUGAUUGUCUCUGUUGACGUUUCCAAAAAUCUACCCCUUCAUUAUUUUCUUUAAACCCUUUGUACCUUUCUUACUGAAACUUGAUUGUCUUUUGAUUUCGCGAAAGGCUUCGGCUUU